This 414-nucleotide ribosomal RNA is filed under the name Psychropotes longicauda. RNAcentral describes it as "partial 16S ribosomal RNA". It matches the Rfam family "Bacterial large subunit ribosomal RNA", at positions 1957 to 2574 of the family's 2925-position model. The record is from RNAcentral. Lineage: Eukaryota; Metazoa; Echinodermata; Holothuroidea; Elasipodida; Psychropotidae.
UAGCAUAAUAAUUUGUUUUUUAAAUGAAAACUAGUAUGAAUGGCCAUCCAUUUUCUAACUGUCUCUCUAUAUUCUCUUUUAAAUUUCUACCCCCGUGAAGAAGCGGGGAUUUCAAAGUAAGACGAAAAGACCCUGUCGAGCUUAAGCUAAUAAAAGAAAUUUUAAUAUAUUAAUUUAUAUUUAUCUUUUUUAAGCUUUGGUUGGGGCAACCAUGGAGUAAAAUUAUCCUCCAGUUAUAAUAANANGAAUUUUAUUCUCUUUAUAUAUUUAAUGAACCAAACUAUUUUGGCAAACAGAAAAAGUUACCGCAGGGAUAACAGCGUAAUCUUCUUUGANAGCCCAUAUUGACAANAAGGUUUGCNACCUCNAUGUUGGAUUGGGGCAACCAAAAAGCGCANCCUCUUUUAAAGGUUG